GACGAGCGCUGGCGGCGUGCCUAAUACAUGCAAGUCGAACGAACUCUGGUAUUGAUUGGUGCUUGCAUCAUGAUUUACAUUUGAGUGAGUGGCGAACUGGUGAGUAACACGUGGGAAACCUGCCCAGAAGCGGGGGAUAACACCUGGAAACAGAUGCUAAUACCGCAUAACAACUUGGACCGCAUGGUCCGAGCUUGAAAGAUGGCUUCGGCUAUCACUUUUGGAUGGUCCCGCGGCGUAUUAGCUAGAUGGUGGGGUAACGGCUCACCAUGGCAAUGAUACGUAGCCGACCUGAGAGGGUAAUCGGCCACAUUGGGACUGAGACACGGCCCAAACUCCUACGGGAGGCAGCAGUAGGGAAUCUUCCACAAUGGACGAAAGUCUGAUGGAGCAACGCCGCGUGAGUGAAGAAGGGUUUCGGCUCGUAAAACUCUGUUGUUAAAGAAGAACAUAUCUGAGAGUAACUGUUCAGGUAUUGACGGUAUUUAACCAGAAAGCCACGGCUAACUACGUGCCAGCAGCCGCGGUAAUACGUAGGUGGCAAGCGUUGUCCGGAUUUAUUGGGCGUAAAGCGAGCGCAGGCGGUUUUUUAAGUCUGAUGUGAAAGCCUUCGGCUCAACCGAAGAAGUGCAUCGGAAACUGGGAAACUUGAGUGCAGAAGAGGACAGUGGAACUCCAUGUGUAGCGGUGAAAUGCGUAGAUAUAUGGAAGAACACCAGUGGCGAAGGCGGCUGUCUGGUCUGUAACUGACGCUGAGGCUCGAAAGUAUGGGUAGCAAACAGGAUUAGAUACCCUGGUAGUCCAUACCGUAAACGAUGAAUGCUAAGUGUUGGAGGGUUUCCGCCCUUCAGUGCUGCAGCUAACGCAUUAAGCAUUCCGCCUGGGGAGUACGGCCGCAAGGCUGAAACUCAAAGGAAUUGACGGGGGCCCGCACAAGCGGUGGAGCAUGUGGUUUAAUUCGAAGCUACGCGAAGAACCUUACCAGGUCUUGACAUACUAUGCAAAUCUAAGAGAUUAGACGUUCCCUUCGGGGACAUGGAUACAGGUGGUGCAUGGUUGUCGUCAGCUCGUGUCGUGAGAUGUUGGGUUAAGUCCCGCAACGAGCGCAACCCUUAUUAUCAGUUGCCAGCAUUAAGUUGGGCACUCUGGUGAGACUGCCGGUGACAAACCGGAGGAAGGUGGGGAUGACGUCAAAUCAUCAUGCCCCUUAUGACCUGGGCUACACACGUGCUACAAUGGAUGGUACAACGAGUUGCGAACUCGCGAGAGUAAGCUAAUCUCUUAAAGCCAUUCUCAGUUCGGAUUGUAGGCUGCAACUCGCCUACAUGAAGUCGGAAUCGCUAGUAAUCGCGGAUCAGCAUGCUGCGGUGAAUACGUUCCCGGGCCUUGUACACACCGCCCGUCACACCAUGAGAGUUUGUAACACCCAAAGUCGGUGGGGUAACCUUUUAGGAACCAGCCGCCUAAGGUGGGACAGAUGAUUAGGGUG
This 1489-nucleotide ribosomal RNA is filed under the name Lactiplantibacillus argentoratensis. RNAcentral describes it as "bacterial SSU rRNA". It matches the Rfam family "Bacterial small subunit ribosomal RNA". Lineage: Bacteria; Bacillati; Bacillota; Bacilli; Lactobacillales; Lactobacillaceae. The record is from RNAcentral.